Molecule: ribosomal RNA, 468 nt
Filed under: uncultured bacterium
Lineage: Bacteria
Description: partial 16S ribosomal RNA
Rfam family: Bacterial small subunit ribosomal RNA
Source: RNAcentral
GACGAACGCUGGCGGCGUGCUUAACACAUGCAAGUCGAACGGAAAGGCCCUGCUUUUGUGAGGUGCUCGAGUGGCGAACGGGUGAGUAACACGUGAGUAACCUGCCCUUGACUUUGGGAUAACUUCAGGAAACUGGGGCUAAUACCGGAUAGGAGCUCCUGCUGCAUGGUGGGGGUUGGAAAGUUUCGGCGGUUGGGGAUGGACUCGCGGCUUAUCAGCUUGUUGGUGGGGUAGUGGCUUACCAAGGCUUUGACGGGUAGCCGGCCUGAGAGGGUGACCGGCCACAUUGGGACUGAGAUACGGCCCAGACUCCUACGGGAGGCAGCAGUGGGGAAUAUUGCACAAUGGGCGGAAGCCUGAUGCAGCAACGCCGCGUGCGGGAUGACGGCCUUCGGAUUGUAAACCGCUUUCGCCUGUGACGAAGCGUGAGUGACGGUAAUGGGUAAAGAAGCACCGGCUAACUACGUG